CUGGCCCUUUUUAUUUUUUAUUUUGAGACAGGGUUUCACUAAGUUGCUUAGGGCCUCACUAAGUUGCUGAGGCUGACCUUGUGCUUGUGAUCCCAGGUCACAGGGAUUACAAUCAGUCAUUGACUUUAUGAUGGUACAGAAAUGAUACACACUCAGUAGCAACCCAACUUCAUAUUCUAAAUUUCUCUUUUCCCUGACUAGCAAUAUUUGGUUUAGUACUCUUGCAACACUGGGCAGCUAUAGUGAGCUUCAGCUUUCCAUCAGCCAAGGAGUCAUGCAGGGAAACAACUGAUGGUUCAGUGCGUACUGCUGAGCUGUGAUGUUCAGUAGGUCAGGUGUAUGAAGUGCAUGUUCACCUUGUGAUAUUUUCAGCUUAUAAUGGGACAUAACCUUAUUUUAAGUCAAGGAGCAUUAGUCUAAAGGAUCAAGGACUUAGCAUUUGAAGUUGAGUCUUGAAGGAGACAUAGGAAUUCAUCCUGUAGACAGCAUGUUCAAGGGAAAAAAUGUACAUAUACAUGUUAAACAUAUAGUUACAUGUAGGUCUUUAAAAAAUUUUUUUAGUUGUGGAUGGACACAAUACCUUUAUUUUAUUUAUUUUUAUGUGGUGCUGAGGAUCAAACCCAGUGCCUCACACAUGUCAGGCAAGUGCUCUACUGCUGAGCCAUAACUCCAGUGCUAGGUUUUCAUUUGGGAUACAUUCAUGUUACCACUGGUUGUGUUUAAGGGAUUAGCUCUUUUCCCUUUAUCAUUCCCUGUAUCUUCCUAAAAUUUACUAAUUUUUCAUUAAAAAAAUGUUUAAAAAUCAUACAUAUCAAUGCUUUCAUUUAUUUUAAGAAAACCAGUAAUCCUUUUUUAAAAAAAUUUUUUUGUAGUUAUAGAUGGACAGCAUACCUUCAUUUUAUUUGUUUAUUUUUAUGUGGUGCUGAGGAUUGAACCCAGUGCCUCACACAUGCAAGGCAAGCACUCUGCCACUGAGCUAUAGCCCCAACCCCCCAAAACAGUAAUCUUUCUCAUACUAUUUCAUCUCCUAGACCAUAAUCUUUUUUUUUUUUGGUACUGGGGAUUGAACUCAGGGGCACUUGACCACUGAGCCAAAUCCCCAGCCCUAUUGUGUAUUUUAUUUAGAGACAGCGUCUCACUGAGUUGCUUAGUCCCUUGCUUUUGCUGAGGCUGGCUUUCAACUCAUGAUCUUCCUGCCUCAGGCUCCUGAGCUACUGGGAUUAUAGGUGGGCCCCACCAUGCCCUGCUUAGACCACAUACAUUUAAUUUUAUUUUAUUAGUAUGAGGGGUUGAAUCUGAGAGUGUUGUACCACUGACCUAUCUUUCCAGCCCUUUUUAAAAUUUUUGUUUUGAGACAGGAUCUCAUCAAGUUGUCAAGGCUUGAACUUGCAAUCCUCCUGCCUCAGCCCUCUAGCUCUUGAGAUUGCAGGUGUGUGCCACUAAGCCCAACUUCUAGGUAGUAGGAAGUUUUAAGGCCAAAAGAAUAGGAUUGAAAGUGCUGUAGUGUAUGAGGGACAGGAAAUGGAUGCCUGAUUAGAGCAUCCUAAAGUUGAUAAGGCCAAGUUGCUGUAACCUUUAAAGAGUCUAGCAUAUGUGAUACUGCUUAUCUGUGAUGUGAUCAACAUUUUCUAUAAAAUUAGUGCUGUUUGUCUGCUUUGAGGAGUCUAUGGUUUAGGGAUCAAAAGCAUGAAUCUUGAUGUCAGACUGAAAUUUUUAGCUUUACCACUUAUAAUAUAUGUGACCUUUGGCAAGCUGCUUAUGCUUUAUGUAACCAGUUGUCACACUCAUGAAAUGGGGAUAUGAGUAGGACCUACUUCACUCGGGGGUUGUGAAGAUUAAGUAAAAUAAUACAGAUAAAGUGUUCAGCAUGGCACCUGGUACUUGGUAAGUAGGCAACAAAUGUUUGUGUUAUCAUUGUUUGAAAAGAGAGAAGUUUGGAUGUAGGGAGGAUAGGUUUAAGCCUGUUAGAAAAAUUCAAAAUAAGGGUAAGAAUUUGCAUCUCUAACUAUGUCACACCACCUUUUCAUCUUCCUAUUUGUCCUAACCCUUGUUUUCAUCUUGCUUUGCUGAACUGCCUUUCUGCUUCCUGUUUUAUAAACCUCCAUUUGAGAAUUAUCCAAGCCAGAUUCCUUAUCAUUACUGUCUAUGUUCCUAUUUUAGUCCCAAAUACAGUAGCUUUCUUUAUUGCAAACAGAAAUAUUCUAUUGUGAUCUCUUUUAGAGAGUGAGCCUAGGGGUGAGUUGGAGCCGUCUGUUCAAAAGCACGAUGUGCUUAUUGAAGGAUCAACUUCAGAGGAAAUAAUAGAAAGAUGCUUCAAGGAUGAUGGUUGUGGCUUGACUGCAGAAUUAAGGAAGCGUUAUGGCAGAUCUGAUGAGGGUCAUGGCAAACGACAUUCAAAAGGAACACAUAAGAAAGCUCAUCAGCGAGGCAGUAAAGGUGAAGACUUUGACUCAGAAAGGAGCCCUGGUGCAAAGCACUUUAAACGAACUUCUGACUUGAUGAAACAUGUGAGAGCCUACUUAAGGAAGAAGUCGCGGAGGUAUAAUGAAUCCAAGAAACCCUUCAGUUUUCAUUCCGAUCUUGUUCUGAACCGUAAAGAACAUUCUUCAGAGAAGUCACAGAAAGGCGGAGAAGGUGGGAAGAGCCUAAGUCAUUCUUCAUCUCUUAGUGAACAUCACAAACGUCAGAAAAUGCAUUUGGGAGAUAAGGCCAAGUGCAGUAAAUGUGGGGUGUCCUUUGCCAAAAGCUUAUCCCGUACUGAGAGAGAAAAGAUGAUGUGUGAAAAAUGUCAGAAGAAGUUACAACAAGAUACAACCUUAAAUAAAGAUGAGGGACCUGAGACCGGAAAAAAAACUCAUAAAUGUAGUAAAUGUGGGAAAACCUUUAGCUGUAAUGCCUCACUCACCAAACAUAGAAAGCACACUGGAGAGAAAUCCUUUAUGUGUAGUGAAUGUGAAGAAGUUUUCGGUGAUAGUUCAUCGCUCAAACGACGACGUCGCAAUAGAGAAAAGCCCUUCAAGUGUGAUGAUUGUGGAAAAAGUUUCAGCCUGAGCACUCACCUCAUUAAACAUCAGCGAAUUCAUACUGGAGAAAAACCCUUCAUAUGUAAAGACUGUGGGAGACCCUUUAGUGAAAGUUCUUCUCUUGCUCAACAUCAGCGAACUCAUACUGGAGAAAAACCCUAUAAAUGUAACGAUUGUGGGAAGUCCUUCAGUCAUAGCUCUUCCCUUUCCAAACAUCAGAGAAUUCACACUGGAGAGAAACCCUAUACAUGUGAAGACUGUGGAAAAUCCUUUAGACAGAAUUCUUGCCUUACUCGACAUCAGAGAAUUCACACUGGAGAGAAGCCGUAUUUGUGUAAGGAUUGUGGAAUGACUUUUAGCCAUUUUACAUCUGUCAUUUAUCAUCAAAGACUUCAUUCAGGAGAAAAACCCUACAAAUGUACCGAGUGUGAGAAAGCCUUUCCUACUCAUUCCCUCCUCAGUCGUCAUCUGAGAAUUCAUACUGGUGUGAAACCUUACAAAUGUAGCGAAUGCGAGAAAACCUUCAGUCAGAGUUCAUCUCUUAAUGAACAUUACAGAGUUCACACUGGAGAGAAACCCUACGAAUGUGACUUUUGUGGAGCAACCUUUAGUCGGAGUUCAGUCCUCGUAGAGCACGUAAAAAUUCAUACUGGCAAUAGAGAAUAUGAAUGCAACAAAUGUGAUAAAAUAUUUAAAAGUAAUUCAAGUCUUAUCAGACAUCGGUUAUUUCACUCUGCAGAGUAAUUCUGGGAAUAUAGUAAGGCAGGAGAAAUUCAGUCCAAAAUGUCCCCUUAUCAUCUCCUUACAUAUACACCUGGAAUUUAAAUUACCAUAACAUUUAUGAGUAACUGCAACUUGAAUGGGUUGGCAGCUAGGAAGAAUGUGCAUCUUCAUUCAUUUCUCUUACCAAGGAUGUCAACUGCUGGUUGGUAAAGUUAUAUGGAAAGAGAAGAAGGUAUGUGAUGUGAAAUACUUCUAAAAAGCCAAAAUUAUAUUUGAAAAGUUCUUUCCUUUAGUGUAUUUCUCUUUCUUUGGCUCUUCUUUCACUGCCAGGUAGCAUUAUGGAAAGAGAACUUGACUGGAUUCAGAUUACUUGGGUAUGUCCCCAUUUGCCAACCAACUCACCAUAUAACCUUGCACAAAUAAUUUGACCCUUCUGAAGUUUAGUUUCUUUGCAUGUAGAAGGAAGGGAUGGGGCUAUUGAUUUCUAAGUUUCAUUUUGUAUCUAUGAUAUUCUCUAAUGCUAUGGAAAUCAUUUAAACAUUUUUCGUCCUUUAGAAUGUUUUCAUUUGCUUAGUAGAAAACUACUGUGUUGCAGGAUACUGGACGUAUGAUAAUGUGAUAUACUCUUUGAAUACUUGAUGCAGGAAUCCCUAGAAUGUGAUAAAUAGGAACAGAUCAGGGAAGCUCAAAUAAGUUUGCCUUCAGGGAAUGUUCUAAUCACACAAAUCACCACAAUCUUUUUUUCUUUUGAGUAUUGGCUAAGGGGGUUGAGAAUAUAAGAAUUUGCACCUGAGCCAAUUGAGCCAUGCAUCAUAGGAAGACAGAUUGAGGGUGAUAGAAAAGACACAUGCUGAAAAUAGCUAUUCUGGAUGGAUUUUUUUUUUAUUUUUUUGCAAAAUAGAAGUGUAUAUUUUUAAAAAACUUUGUAGCAAGCACAGCUUCCUGUAAUUACAGUGUAAGCAUUCUGUAUAGCAAAGGUCACAAUCAGAUUGGGUCAGAGUGGGCCCUUGGACAUGUUUUUGGUGUGUGUGUGUGUAUAAUUGUCACUAUUUUAAAAUUAGGGAAUUCCAUGUUAAUACUAUCAUACUGCGCCCUUAUUUCUGUGGAACACUCAGCUGGUUCUGAGUAGCAGCUGCCACCUUGAGAUGGAUAACAUACUCUCAUUUAUCAAGUUAUUUCAUGUAUAUAACCUGACUUUUCCUCUGUAGGAAUUCGAUAUUUUGAUCCCGUACCAUCUGGAAAAUACAUAGACUGAAACCCCAUUGAUAGCUAGUACGAUUCAGGAAAAGAAUGUAGAAUUGAUAAGAAUAAUUGCUCAGUUAUAUUUUCUGUUGUGUGUGAGAGUAGACCUUGAAGGAAUGGAAUAUACGGGUAUUGAUGGAUAUUCUUUAAAAAUUUCAUUGAGGAGUCUGAAUAAUAAUUUCUAAUUGAAAAAGGAACUAAAGAUCCUGAGUGAGUUAGGUUUGGGUGUCAGGUCACUGGGUUCUAGAGAAUCCCCACGACUGAAGAGUGGUACAGAAAUGAGUUCCUAAGGUUGAAAUUUGAAACAGCUCCUGUAAAAAGAGAACUUGAACCAUAAAACUCCGCGCUUGUGGAAAUAAAGAGAUCCUUAAUGCUGAUGUGAGACUCAGGAACGUUUGCUGUAAUGUAACAUGUUUGGUUUGAAAUGCUACCUCUGGAUGUAGGGUUUUCGGUUUCUUCUGGUGCCUCCUUCAUCCCCCCACCCUCAAAGCCUGCAGUUCAGAGUCUGCUGUGUGACAGCUUGAUCUGCACAGUUACCGCUCAAUGGACCAACCAGAUGCACUCUAGCCAUGGAAGGAAUGUCACCUAAGGAUCAUCCACAUUGGUGUAAGUUUUUUUUUUUUUUCUUUCCUCAUAAGAUAUAAUUUAUGGGAAGAAUUAAGAGGAAUAUGUAAAACUCUUAAAGUUAUUUUAGGAUGUUUCAUGGUUAGACCCACCCAGUUUGCAUGAGAGGAUGUUUUAUCCUGGUGUCAGUUGGGAAUCUAGAGCACAAACUUUGUUUUUCAACUUUUUAAGGUAUAAAUUAUAUAUAAUAAUAAUAAAAAAAAGCAAAACCACACACACAGUUUAAGUAUGCAGUUCAGAGAGUUUUAGUAAAUUUACUGAGUGUGCAGCCAUUGCCAUAACCCGCUUUUAGAACAUCACCUUAAUCAGAUCCCUUAGAUUUUUUCCAUCUCCCCUUCCUACCCCUACUCCCAGGCAGCACUGUCGAUCUACCUUCUGUCUGUGGGGUUGCCUUUUCUGGAUUUCUUUGUGGUUUUAAUUUGCAUUUGCCUGAUGACUGAUUAUGUUGAUUUAUCUUUCAUGUGCUCUUUAGCCAUUCAUAUAAGUCGUCUUUGUUAAAAUGCCUACUCAAUCUCUUUAAAAAUUGAGUUGUUGUUAAUUGAGUUACAAUAGAUCCUUUACCUGGAUACAAGUUCUUUGUACAGUACAGCUUUGUAAAUAUUGGGUAGCUACUGAGGGAAACCAUAGACCCUACUGCACAAUAUUUAUCAGUAACUAAGUAUGUAUAAUUGCCUGAAUGAUGUUCAGUCUGGCCCAUCACCCAUGUACUUAAAUCCAUCAUUGGAAUAAGUCAGAUCAAGAGCUUUUCAACUGCUCACUCCUCAUAGAAUUGAUUUUAUUAAGCUUUAUUUAGAAUUUUUGUUCUUGUUUACAUGGAUGAGUGUUAAAGUUAGCCCUGUGACAAAUUUUAUUUUACAGUGAAGCUCGCGCUUUAAAAAAUAUUUCCCAGUAAUGAGUUUCUUUUGAAGAAAUUUCUUUCAAGUUACAGGACAAGACAAGAUUUCUUUGUAUGAAUUCUUUUUCUUUCUGGGGAUAGAGCCCAGGGACUCAUGCACAGUGAACAGACACCACCACUGAGCCACAUCCCCACCCUUGAAUUCACUCUUAUUUUACCUAUUUUAGAAUUCUUCUUUAAUGUAAUAAAAUAUACAUAAUGUAAAAUUAGCUGUUGGGGUCCUUUUUGUGUUGUGUAAUUCAGUAGCAUUAAUUACAUUAACAUGUUCGUAAAAUCAUCACUGUUUAUCUCCAGGACUUUUCCAUCAUCCCAAACUGAAAUUCUGUACUCAUUAAACCAUAACUCAUCAUUUCCCCUCAUUGUGACCACUAUUCUAAUUUGUCUACAUAUUUGAAUUUUAGACACUUCACAUAACUGAGCUCAUAUAACAUCUGUUCUUUUGUGUCUGUCUUAUUUCACUUUGCAUAAUAUUUGGUAAACAUUCCUUUUGUUUCAAGGAAAUGUUGAAUUGGAUUUUCUAGUUCAGGAAAUCUUUAUAAAAUUCUUUUAUAAGUCAUCCAGAUAACAGUGAUAAAGAACCCAAGAUCAUGUAAUGUUUUAUGCUUUUUUGGUUCCAUAACUAGCAGUGAGUAUUCCAUAGCAUUUGUACAUAUGCAUAUGUCCUGAAGAAUUUUAGUGACUGUAUCCAUAUCUCAUCUUGGAAUCUGCUUCAGAAAACUGAACAAGAAUAUCUUCAAUAUGAAUUGUACACUGGAAUAAAGCAACGAGAGGUUAUUUUGCUUUUAAAUUCUGAUGUAUCUGGUCUUUGACUUAGCAUAGCUAGAAUUCCAUCUUCACAGUACAAAUUAAUCUCUUGUUGAAAUUCCUCGACUGAUGGAAAUUGAUCAAAAAUAUCUGUCAUGAAUUUGAGAUUUUAGGCAAUGAAUUGACAUUUCUUUGUAAAUUUGGAUGUUCUUUGAAAACAGAAUAUACCCAAAGUUUUCCUUGAGCAGUGUCUUAUAUCACACAAUUCCUCUGAAACUAAAACUUGAAAAUUUUCAAAUUUUGAAUCAAUUGAUCUUUGAUAUUAUUAGAAACAUAUGCCUAUAUAUUCUGUUAGCAAAAUAUAAUUUGCUCAUGUAUAUUCUAUGAGCAAAAUUGUUAAAUGGUACAAUCGAAUAUUUCAGGGUUUGUUUUUUUUUCUAUCAGGGUUUUUUUGUGUGUGUUUUUUAAGAGGUCUUAAAAUUUUCUAAAUAAAUUAUCAUAUAUAAAAUAAUCUCUUCUUUUUUUUGUGGCAGUGCUGGAGUUAAAUGUAGGGCCUUGUGCAUGCUAGACAAGUGCUCUGCCACUGAGCUACACUCCAGCCUGACUCUUUUUAUCUUUCAAUCUAACGUUCUUUUUUUGUGUGUGGUCAUGUAAGAAUUAAGCUGUUUUAAUAGUGCACUGUGUUUACAAACAGUCUGCUAAAACUUUUAAAAAUUGUUUUGUUAGAAAUUUAAUUCUCAUUUCUUAUGACUAAUUUUGUGAAUUAUUUUUUGACUAAUUUGUUCAAAAAAUUAGUAAUUCUUAAUGAUUGUCUUCAGUGUUGCCUUUUAUGUUAUCGUCAACACUUGAAUUCAACAGCCUUUUCUUUUCAUUUUGCUGUAAAUUGCAAUUGGUAUGGAUCUUUGAAUGUGCACUAUACUCUCCUAUUCCCGUUUUUGCUGGUUGUAGUACUAGCUUCUGUAUCUGCACUGAAUUUUGCCUCAAUGAUAUGCCUUGUUUAAAAUUUAAAUAUUUUCCAUAUAUUUUUGCCUAGAAAAUAAUUAUAAUAGCAAAUAUCUCAAUUUAAUGAUUAUGAUUUAUGUGCAAAACACUGUAACUUGUGCUGUCUGCAUAGGUAUAUUCUAACUUGUGCUACCUACAUAAAAUAUCCAAGUAAACCCACCAUAAUAUUCCAUCCGUGCAUAGAAAAAAGUCAUCUGAACUGAAUUAGUCUGUUGAUACUGACUAGAUUGGUGAUAUGUUUGUAUGUAACACUAAAAAUAAUGCACGUUCCAUACAAGUGUUAGAAGACCAGUGUCCUAUGUGAUGCAGUGGUUAAAGUGAAUUGUAGUUCUGUCAAGACAAUAAAGUUGUGUUUAAUGAAAAAAUA
This 8620-nucleotide long non-coding RNA is filed under the name Marmota monax (woodchuck). The record is from RNAcentral. Lineage: Eukaryota; Metazoa; Chordata; Mammalia; Rodentia; Sciuridae.